UUACACAUGAAUAACAGAAUGCAGAAUUCUGUGGCAGGGUUCCUUGCAGAAAGCAGGCAUUCCCCCUCUCCAAGCUCACAGCCUAAGAGCAGCCGGUUUCUGCUGCAGGGGUUGACACAGGAUGUUUGGAUUUGGGAUGCAGAUGAUCCCGGAUGCUGCAGGAUUCCAUUUCAAGCUGUCACAGCAGCCACGUGGGGAUGAAAUAUCUCCGCUUUGGAGAUUCCUCCUCCCAGCUGGGGUAAAGCAGCCUGGAUUCCUCCAAGGCUGUGAAGCUGGGCUCACAUGGAGGAGAACAUGGAUCACUUCUGCAGCUGAGGCUGUGGAGAGCACAGGACGGAGAGGACCUGGAUGUCCCACAGGGAGGAUGGAGCGGCCUUGGGGCCCGUCAGGAGAAGCAGAGCGAGGUGAUGUCAUGCAGGGUAGUGUGCUUGCAUCUUUUAUCUGCCAACAACAUCUCUUUAAUCCCUAUGAAUAAAACUUGGCCCAUUUGCUGCACUCUGGUCCGUGUGAAUGGCCACAGGAACAGGAAGAAGCUGAUUGCAGGAUGGCUGCAGGCACAGGAGGAUGUUGCUAGGGCAGUGCUGGGAGAUGGAUUUAGCAGACAGGGAGGUUCUGCUAAAGCCUCCCUUUGAGGCUUUGGCUACAACUUGUCCAGCAAACAGCUUGUGGAGAACAGCUGGAAGAGGUGUGGAGGAGCACAGGGGGAUGCUGGAAUUGGAAAGCCGAUUGUGGGUACAGUCUGAGAACCCAUCAGUGAUGCCAUGGGAGCAGUGCCCUGGUGUAAGGGCACCCUGGGGCAGGCUGGAGGCUGGCAGGGAGGAGCUGAUUGCAUUUUGCUGGUUUUCCUUUGCCAGCCUGGCUGACAUCCGUGCCCACACCUGUCUGCCCGCACCGACAUCUCCUCCAGCCAUCUCCGCUGGCUCCAACCUCUCUCCAAACCUGGAAUCUCCCUGCUCCCUCCCUUCCCAGCUUGCCACACAGGAGCAUCAUUAGGGCUGCCUGGGCAAGGGAAUUAUCCUGCUGGUUUUUGUGGAGUUGGGGUAAUGCUGGAGUAAUUAAUUCGUGUAACUCAGUGCUCCCAGUGCCAGGAGUAAUGCUGGAGCAUCCCUGCACUGGUGGGGUUGCUCUCUGCAGGAGGUUCAGGACUGCUCACCCUUUGCCUCUGGGGUGAGAAGUGCACUCUCAGCAGCGCUUGGCAAUUCCCUCUGCCCCGUGGGCUUUCCCACAAAGUGGGAAAUUGUGAUUCCCACAAUUGUCAUUCCCACAAUUGCGAUUCCUGUUGCUUCCGAGUGCUUGGGGGGAGGGUCUAAUUUUUGCAACAUGCAGGCACCAGAUAUUGUGUUCAGCUCAAAGGUGGUAAUGUAAAUCUCUUUUUUUGCACUGGGGUUAUUACCUUAAUCAAAUAUUCAUUUACAGCACACGUUGGCAAAUUCAGGCUUGACAUAAAGCAAUUCACUCCUGGUGUGUAGUGUUUAAUGGGAUUAUUCUUCUAAGUAACUGAGCCUCCUUUGCCCACAUUGUUGUGGCUGCCCCUGGAUCCCUGGAAGUGCCCAAGGCAAGGCUGGACAAGGCUUGGAGCAAGUUGGGAUAGUGAAACCUGUGGAUAGUGGGGUGAUUUUUAAGGUUUCUUCCAACCCAGACCGUGCUGUGAUUCCAUGAUCCAGUCUGAGAUGGGAGGAUCAGGAUGUAGCUGGGUCUGUGUGGCCAUGGACACAUCCAGACAGAGAACUUCAGGCACUGGGAGAGGCAGAAGCAGCAGGAGCCUUUUUUCUUAGGAAAACGUUCACUAGCAGCUUCUGGAAGCAAGUGGGGGAUUGCUCCAGGAUACACAGUUAAAGGAUGCACUGCUCCAAAUCACAGAUUAUUCCUCUGUUCAAGGCAGGGCAUGGGGGAAAAACCCCAAUAAUUGCAAUCUGCCCUGGAUGGAUAAAGUGCCUGUACAGUCAUCAGGUCAUGAGUUUUAGGAGGCCUUAUGUUUAUCCCUUCAGGUCCUAACCCAGGAGAGCAGAAGGAAACCUGCUGGCAAUGGCAGUGUCUGGGUUCUGUGCUUGGGGUGACACAGCUGCACAGAUGUGGUCAGCCUGCAUGCCAAGGCACAGGGAUGAGGGGAAAGCUGCAUUUCCUGAGCUCUCCCUAGCCUGUGCUUGCUCUUAAGCCCAUCUCCUGACCAUGCAUCCCUUCCUCCUUGCCACAGGAUCAUGGGGAGAUAACAUUUCCCUGCAGGGAAGCUGACUGAUGUCCCCAUGUGUUGCUGACUGAGCUGGGUGGUUUGUGGCUUCCCCAUGCUCAGGAAUUUUGGUCUCACCCCAGUUCAUGUGCCAAAGAUGCUCUCCAUGGCCUCAUCUUCAUCUUCUCCCUCUCCCUGGCACUGUGAGCAACAGAGAGCACAUCCCUUGGAUAAUCUGGUGCUCUCUCAGCGACGGGUCCAGCAUGUGGAACAGCACCAGGAUAAUCUGGAUGAGUCCCCAAGGACACAGAGGGACAGAGCUGCUGUUGGCAGCCAGGCACCUCUUCCCACACUGCUCCUGUGCCACGUGGACACUGCUUCUCCAAUUUCCCAGCUGAAGGGGAAGUGCCACAGCAGUGCUGCAUGCAGAGGAGCAGCCUUGUGACCAUGACACAUCCCAUUAGUCAGCUCGCAGGGAGGGCAGGAGAGGUUUGCAGGAGGAUUUCAGCUCCAUGGGAGCUGGACAGUGGUGGAGAGCAGGGAUUAGGUCAUGGAGACACGAUCCCACUCUGGCUGCACUUAUUCUCCACGGUGCUGACUAAUGUGUGGUAAAGGAUCCAGCAGGAAUCCUGGCCCCAGUGUGUGCUUUUCCAUGGCCUCCCAGGCUGGUGGGCACCACCACAAAGCACCACAGUGUUCCAGGGACUUGGCAGUGAAUUCUCACCCUUGGUCUCCAGGAACUUGGCAGUGAAUUCUCACCCUUGGUCUCCUCGCUGGACACUUUGGCCCAUAUCCCUUCCUGAGGUUCCUCACCCUGCUGCCAGGGGCAUUUCUGAGAGUUGUAGGUUGCACCCCCUGUGUCAUUCCCACCAGGUGAAGGUGGUUCCUUUGUGCCUUUCCUUUUCCCUCAUUUUCUUCAGUGACUGCUCAGAGCUGAGGUUUUGAGGGUGGUGGAGGAGAGGAGGCAGCAGCAGAGUGCAAACUGAUUUGUGCUGUCCCACUUCUCUUGCCCAAGAGCAUUCCUGUAGGGAACUGCUCCACAGAGGAGUCUGCAGGACUGGUGCCUUGUGGGAUGGGAGGGAAUUGUCUGACCGUGUAUAGGGAAGCAAUAUAACAGGGAAUAAAGCAGGGAACAAGGCUGAUUCCAGGUCCAGAUGAAUGGUGAAAUUACGGAAUGCAAGACACAAGGCCAUGGAAAAUGUUCAUCCUGAGCCCCAGCAGCUGAGCUGCUGUCUUAGGGUGGAAGAUGUGGCUGGGGGUGUGUGUUCUAUUGCCAUCUGUUAGAGGUGGGGCAGUUUUCUCUUCUCUUCUCUUCUCUUCUCUUCUCUUCUCUUCUCUUCUCUUCUCUUCUCUUCUCUUCUCUUCAUUGGGCAGUUUUCUUUAUCUCUCCCACAAACCAGUCCUCCCUCGGGGAAAGAUCUUGUGUUCAUGGGCCAUUGAGUGUCACUGCUUGACUGUUAGAAUUCCAUCAUCCCAUUGGGAGAAGCUGCGCCCAGGGGGAGGAGCCAAGCAUUCCUUCCUGGAUAUAAUCUGACAGUUGGAACACCACAGCACCUUUCCCACUGGAUUCCCAGAGGAGUGGCCCUUUCCCACUGGAUUCCCAGAGAAAGAUCAGACCAAUCUACACCACCACUGGAUCUUUAGAGGAAAACUCCACCCUUUACAGGAUCACUGCUCCAGCAGAACCACACCUGUCUCUGCAGGAGGACUGCAGCCACCCUUUAAUGGGACUGCUACCAGCAACCUGACACACGGGGAGUCAGGCCAUAUUCUCACUCUGUCACUGUUGUUUUGUAUUACUGCUUUGGUUUGGGUUUUUUUUUUUCCUUUCCUAAUAAAGAACUGCUAUCCCUGCUCACAUAUCUUUGCCUGAGAGCCCCUUAAUUUCAAACCUAUAACAGUUCGGAGGCAGGGGGUUCACAUUUUCCAUUUCAGGGGAGGCUCCUGCCUUCCUUAGCAGACACCUCUCUUUUCAAACCAAGGCAGCUGCCAAGCAGGAAAAGCCCAUGCCAGGCUCUCACAGCUCUCCCUUGCUCUGCCUGUUGGGAUUGCUGCCUCCAGCCUUUGGCUUCCAGCUGGGAUGUUCUCCCCAGUAGACCUGACGUCUCUGCUGUGAGUUUAUCCAGCUGUUAUCAGCAGAUGCCCUUCCUUGGUGACUCAUGCCCUGCUCCCUGACCACAUCCCCUUCUCCCAUUGCCCCCACCCACUACAACUGAGUCACUUGGCCUCCUGCCACAAGCCAGGAGCUCUCCCUCCAGACAUGGAGACACUUCUGGCCCACCCUGAUGUAAGUGAGGCUCCUCCUGAGUUGCUUUUCCCAGGCAGGCUCUGGAGUGGGAAUUUGCUGCCUCAUUACCAGGCUGGCCCUGGCCUGCACACUGCCCAGACUACACUCUUUUUGUCCCUUAGUGCAUUCUCCACAGGGACCAGUCCAGCCCUGUGGUACUGGGAGUCACCCAACAGCCCAGCACUCCAGCCUUGGCUGGUUUGUGUUUCAGGUGGGACUUGUGAAGGUGGGAGCUGUGAAAACUCAGUGCUGAAAAACCUUUCCUACCUUCUGACCAUCCUGGAGCUGCAGGAAGACACUUUCUGAUGUUAUCCCAUAAAAGCAGCAUUUUCAGCUGCUAAAGGAGGGAAUUUUAGCAUGAGAGGAACAUUGAAAAUCAAGGGGUCUAUUUCUUUGCACCCAAUUUAGGGCUAUCCCUGUGCAUCUCUACCCCAUUAAAAGUUGGUGAAAUUUCAUCUUCCCAGUCUCUUUUUGAAGCCCUGUGGUGGAACUUCCUGGCAUGGGAUGGCCACACUGAAUACAAACAUCACCCUCUCUGCACAGCAAUAAAACAAAGCAAGGUUAUUUCUCACGUGGCUGUGUCUGAUCUGGAGAAAGAGGAGCUGCCAAAAUCCACCCCCCAACCCUUUCCUUGGAGCAGGAGCCUGGUGUGUGUGCAAUCCUGGGCUGGCAGGAGCUGGAUCAGACCUUGCUUUAGUCAUCCUGAGUGAGCAGGCACAGCCCCUGCCUCUGCUGAGGUCAGGCCCGGUGAAGGGGGAAGAUGGAUAUCAGCUCUGCAGCCUGGAAUGUGAUAACAUCCCUGCACACCCACCCAGAUCCUGCAGGCAAGCCUGGGAGCCCCGGGCUCUUUCUUGUCCAGACAGGAUUGUUGUUCCUCCCGAGGUGGGCUGGCUCCUGCCCCUGUCCCCUCCCUCAGGGAUACAGAGCUUCCUGCAGGAAAGCUCUGCCAGGGCACAGAGAUGGAGCUCAGUUGCCCAAGCAGCCUCCCCAGUGGCUCAUCUUGUUCUGGGAGCCCCAGUUAGGAGCACUGGACUUGCAUGGAUGCCUUGUGCUGUCCCUGAUUGAUGCCAGAAGGAAAUCUUCCUGAUGGAAGCACCUUUCCAUUGGGAAAGAGAGUUUCCAUCUGUCUUUCCCACAUCUGCCUCAUCUGGUUGGUGCUGACAUGCUCCCUUCCCUACCUCCCUCUUCCUCCUCCUUCUCCAUGAUUUUCUAGUCCAUCCAUAGCUCCAUCUCCCUCUGCUUGGAUCUCCCAUUUCACCUUUCCAACGCCCUGCUGCAUCCCAGAGGAUUGAGCUCCUUUCCUGGCUGUCGCCGACAUCUUUUAUGAAAAAUCUUUUCCUCAAGAUUUUUCUUCUUGAGAAGCUGAGAGGCCUCAGA
Zonotrichia albicollis (white-throated sparrow) is the source of this 5831-nucleotide non-coding RNA. The record is from RefSeq and is a predicted model, not a curated record. Lineage: Eukaryota; Metazoa; Chordata; Aves; Passeriformes; Passerellidae.